RNAcentral lists this non-coding RNA (107 nucleotides) under Clostridium amylolyticum. RNAcentral's name for it is "SAM-I sequence". It matches the Rfam family "SAM riboswitch aptamer (S box leader)". From Rfam's summary of the family: The SAM riboswitch is found upstream of a number of genes which code for proteins involved in methionine or cysteine biosynthesis in Gram-positive bacteria. The SAM riboswitch acts at the level of transcription termination control. Lineage: Bacteria; Bacillati; Bacillota; Clostridia; Eubacteriales; Clostridiaceae. The record is from Rfam by way of RNAcentral.
GUCUUAUCAAGAGAGGUGGAGGGACUGGCCCUGUGAAGCCCGGCAACCAGUAUUUAUUUAUAAAUACAAUGGUGCCAAUUCCAACAGCGUAAGCUGGGAGAUGAGAA